ACCUACUGUUUGAUUUUGAGGGUUCGUUUUUACGAAUACUCAAAAUUAGCACUUUAAGCAACGGGAUUUAUCCGUUGGCGCCGUGCUUUAGCACUUUUAGCAACAGAAUAAACUGAACGCAUGUGAAGUUUGUUUGUUGGCGCUGUGCGUUAGCACUUUAAGCAACGGAAUUUAUUCGUUGGCGCCGUGCUUUAGCACUUUGAAAACUGCAUAUAUAUUUAGUGAUAUGACAUCUAAUUUGUAAUAUAUAAAGCUGAUAACUUUUUAAAAUUAUCGAAGUUGAUAGCUUCUAAUCUAUCAAACCUUUUUAACUGGUCAA
RNAcentral lists this unclassified non-coding RNA (319 nucleotides) under Clostridioides difficile. RNAcentral's name for it is "16S-23S ribosomal RNA intergenic spacer (ISR)". The record is from RNAcentral. Lineage: Bacteria; Bacillati; Bacillota; Clostridia; Peptostreptococcales; Peptostreptococcaceae.